GGGAGCUGCAGGGUGGUGGGAGGGGCCCCAGCCUCUGAGCCUGUCCUCCCACAGGAAAGUCCAUCAAACCAAAUGACCAUCAGAGGGCAGUGGCCAAGACCCAGCACCAGAAGAAGAAUGAUGUUAGCAUGCUGUCCGAGGCCGAGGAGGGGAUGAAGGUGAAGCUGCUGGAGCUGCAGGGCCCAGUGAUGCAGCUUAUGAUCAACCACAAGGUCCAGCACCCUGCUAAUGAGUCCACUCCAGGGGCCCCAGCCCGCCAGGAGCUUGGUGCUGCUGACAAGGAUGGUGAGUAGAGCCCUCAGGCGGGGUGGGCAGGCAGGAGCAGGGGAGGCUGGCACUGUACUCAGAUCCCCACCUCCCUCUCUCCAAAGAAUUUUAUGAGAUGAGCCCGGACGAUGACAGCUACAGCCUGGAGCCUGCAGGAGGGAGGGUACACCACACCCCACUGCACAGCAGAUGGCUCACAGCUGUGUGAGCUGCGGGAUGGCCAGCAACACUGACCCUUGGGCAGCAGUCCCUCUAUGCCAUGCUUUUACCGGGCUGCUGCGAAGGAGGAGGUGAACAUCACCAUCAGCUAAGAACUGGCCAAGAAAUUUACAAAGGAACAAAGUUAUAGGAUUAGUCUUCUACAUGUUAACUUUAUUUGAAUGUUAGAGCCACUCAUGAUGAUUUGUGUUUCUAAUUUAUAGUUUAUUUGUAAAAAGUUAAAGGA
Sapajus apella (tufted capuchin) is the source of this 712-nucleotide long non-coding RNA. RefSeq lists it as uncharacterized. The record is from RefSeq and is a predicted model, not a curated record. NCBI's taxonomy places the organism in Eukaryota, Metazoa, Chordata, Mammalia, Primates, Cebidae. The transcript is spliced from 2 exons.